This 519-nucleotide ribosomal RNA is filed under the name uncultured eukaryote. RNAcentral's name for it is "SSU rRNA". It matches the Rfam family "Eukaryotic small subunit ribosomal RNA", at positions 1161 to 1706 of the family's 1831-position model. The record is from RNAcentral.
AGGGCACCACCAGGAGCGGAGCCCGCGGCUUAAUUUGACUCAACACGGGAAAACUCACCCGGCCCGGACACUGUAAGGAUUGACAGAUCGAGAGCUCUUUCUUGAUUCGGUGGUUGGUGGUGCAUGGCCGUUCUUAGUUGGUGGAGCGAUUUGUCUGGUUUAUUCCGAUAACGAGCGAGACUCCGGCCUACUAAAUAGUGACUGGAUCCCUGGUCCAGUGCACUUCUUAGAGGGACAAGCGGCGUUCAGCCGCAUGAAAUGGGGCAAUAACAGGUCUGUGAUGCCCUUAGAUGUCCGGGGCUGCACGCGCGCUACACUGGAGGAGGCAGCGUGCCUUUACCAUUGCCGAAAGGUAUUGGCAAACCGAUGAAAAUCCUCCGUGAUCGGGAUCGGGAAUUGCAAUUAUUUCCCUCGAACGAGGAAUUCCCAGUAAGUGUGGGUCAUCAGCUCGCGCUGAUUACGUCCCUGCCCUUUGUACACACCGCCCGUCGCUGCCCGGGACUGAGCCGUUUCGAGAAA